This 3105-nucleotide ribosomal RNA is filed under the name Triticum aestivum (bread wheat). RNAcentral's name for it is "partial small subunit ribosomal RNA". Lineage: Eukaryota; Viridiplantae; Streptophyta; Magnoliopsida; Poales; Poaceae. The record is from RNAcentral.
AUGCUGCAGCGGGCGGCGAGCAAUGCGUACUCAUGGUGGUGGGCGAGCCACAUCCGCACCAAGCAGUCCAAAUGGCUCGACAAUCACCUCCAAGAUAUGGAGCACCUGGUCAAGUGCAUGCUCUUACUCCUUGGAGAGGAAGCCGAUUCCUUUUCAAAGCGAGCAGAGAUGUACUACAAGAGGCGGCCUGAGGUGAUCACUCAGGUGGAAGAAGUGUACCGGAUGUACAGGGGUCUCGCCGAUCGGUAUGACAUCAUGUCAGGGGAGCUGCACAAGGCAAACCACACCAUCGCUACCGCCUUCCCUGACCAGGUUCAGUAUGCGAUGCUAGAAGAGGAGGAUGACAACGUCCCAAAGGCGUUCACCCCGGUCGAUCCGCGCAAGAUCCACAAGUCGACCGUCGAUGGGCUGCUGAAGAAGAAGAAAGGAGAUGUGCCAGGAGCCGGCGGAGACAAGAAGGAACAAGCUCCGAUGAGCAAGGAGAAUGCACGAGAAGAGAUUAGCAGGCUACAGAAAGCUAUACUUGUGAUGCAGACCGAGAAAGAGUUCAUCAAGAACUCGUACGAGAGUGGCAUUGCCAAGUACUGGGAUCUUGAGAAGGAAAUCAAUGAGAUGCAGGCAAAAGCUUGCCACUUCCAAGACAAGUUCGACGUAAGCGCAGUGAUCGAGGACGAUGAAGCCAGAGCCUUGAUGACAGCGACGGCCCUCAAAUCCUGUGAAGACACCAUUGUCAGAUUGCAAGAACAGCGGAAGACGGCUGCUAAGCAGGCAUUGGACGAAUCUGAACGGGUCAAGGUGUUGAGAGAGAAGCUCAAGCCUAUAAUGGACGAACAUGGCAAGUCUCUACCGGACCUGGUGGAGAAAAACAUACGGAAGAAUCAUGUCACGGAGAUGGGAGACGUGUACCAUGUGAAGCUGGGUGAGCUGCAGAUGCAAACGUUAGUCGACAAGAUCAAGGAAAACUUCACGAGCGACUGCAACAUCACCAUGGACGAGAUCACAGAGCAGAUCGACGAGCUUGUCAACAAAGUUGUCGAUUUGGAGCUUAUGGUUUCGUCGCAGACCUCGCAGAUCGACAGAAUGCACCGCGAAAAUGAGGAGCUGGAGAAUUCCGUCAAGAGCCUGGAGGAAGAGAAAGGCUCGAGCGAACUGGACGAGAAGCUGAAGCAGGUGGAAGAAGAGCUGGUCAGAGUGCAGGCUCUCGAAAGCUCCUUCCAUAAAGACGAGAGCACGAUACGUUCAAACUUCACCGAAACGAUAAGCAGAUUCAGUAAUUUCGCCGACAUGUUGCAGUCGCCAGUUUGCGACUACCAGGCUCCUGGUUCUACUGCUCACACGUCGGCGCCAACCGGUGAGGAAGCACCGCCUCCUACCGAGCCAUCCAGCAAGAGCCAUCCACCUCCACCUGAGGAAGAAGAAGACAAACAACAGGUAGAAGAAGAGAAGGCCGCCGUCGUGCAGACUCCUCAACCCCAACAAGCCAGCACUGAAGAUGCUGCUGCUGCUGCUCCUCAACCCCAACAAGCCAGCACUGGAGAUGCUGCUGCUGCUGCUGUUCCUCAACCCCAACAAGGCAGCACUGGAGAUGCUGUUGCUGUUCCUCAAUCCCAACAAGCCAGCACUGGAGAUGCUGCUGCUGCUGCUCCUCAACCCCAACAAGCCAGCACUGGAGAUGCUGCUGCUGUUCCUCAAUCCCAACAAGCCAGCACUGGAGAUGCUGCUGCUGCUGCUCCUCAACCCCAACAAGCCAGCACUGGAGAUGCUGCUGCUGCUGCUGCUGCUGCUCCUCAACCUCAACAACCCAGCACUGGAGAUGCUGCUGCUGCUGCACCCGUUGAUGUGGUGAAAACAGGGGCGGCAGCGAGCGCUACUGGUGCGUCUGUCGUAGAUGGCACUAAAAAUUCAGAUCAUGGGCAUGAGAAGAUUUCGCGGCCGGGUUCGCUGGCACGGCUUCGCCACAUCUCUUCUGACGCUGAAGAAUCUGAGGAGCAAAAGGAGAAGGGCUGUGUUGACGGUGACAUGAAGAAACUGCAAGAGCGGCUCAUGGAUGGCCUGGAAGAUAAGGAGAAGGUCCUGCUAUCCGAGUACACCUCGCUCCUGGAGGACUACAAGGACACCAAAAGGAAGCUGCUGGAUGUGGAGAAGAAGAACCAGGAGUGCCUCAAUGAGAUCAGGUCGCUGCGCAAUCUUAUCGGAGAGAAGGAGAAGGAGAAGGAGAGGGAGAGGGGCAGCAUCAGAGGAGGACACAGGAGGACACCCAGCCUUAGCCAUCAGAGGAAGCAGAGCCUUUCUUCCAUCUCUAAGCUCAUCAGGAUGGGCUCAAACAUGCAAGACGACCCUCCUGCUGCUGACCUUGACGACAUGAGGCUGCCGUCCAUCGCCGAGGUUGAGAACCCGUCGCCGCUGGAGGAGAAGUUCAGGCGCGACAUCGACACGCUGCUGGAGGAGAACCUCGAGUUCUGGAUGAAGUUCAGCUCCUCCAUGGGCCGGGUGCAGGAGUUCCAGAACAAGUACGACGACCUCAGGAGGGUCACGGCGGACGGCGCCGACGGCGAGAAGAAGCUCCGGGCGCUCAAGACGGAGCUGCAGGUGUGGUCGGAGCAGAACGCGAUGCUGCGGGGCGAGCUGCAGUGCAGGUUCGCGUCGCUCUGCGACAUCCAGGAGGAGAUCUCGACAGCCCUGGAGAUGGACACGGAGCAGGCGGAGGAGGCCGAGGAGGGGGCGCCGCGCUUCACCUCCUACAGCGCCGGCAAGUUCCAGGGGGAGGUGCUCAACAUGCAGCAGGAGAACAACCGGGUCUCCGACGAGCUGCAGAGCGGCCUCGACCACGUCAAGACGAUCCAGUUUGCCAUCGAGAAGAAGCUCAAUGAGGGCGUCAACCUCUCCUCCCCCGCACCGGCGGAGGAGGGGGAGGAGGAGGUGGUCGGGCCGGACGGGGUGCUGGCGCGGGUGCCGACCAAGGCCAAGGUGCCGCUGCAGAGCUUCCUGUUCCCGACCAAGCCCAAGAAGCCGUCGCUGUUCGCGCGCGUCACGCCGGCCGUGCUCCACAAGCAGCAGUUAGACAUGAAGUUAGACAUGAAGUUCCUCCCCAAGUUGCCAAGGUAG